CCCUUAGAUGUUCUGGGCCGCACGCGUGCUACACUGAGUGGAUCAGCGGGUCAGGUUGCGCGAAAGCGUUUCCUAAUCUUUAAAUCCGCUCGUGAUGGGGAUUGACGGUUGCAAUUUUCUGUCAUGAACGAGGAAUACCUUGUAAGCGCGGGUCAUCAUCCCGCGCUGAAUACGUCCCUGCCCUUUGUACACACCGCCCGUCGCUCCUACCGAUUGAGUGGUCCGGUGAAGUUCGUAGACCUCGUGAUCGCGGAUCACUGGGGGAAGCAAAAUGAACCUCGCGGUUUAGAGGAAGGAGAAGUCGUAACA
This 309-nucleotide ribosomal RNA is filed under the name uncultured eukaryote. RNAcentral's name for it is "partial 18S ribosomal RNA". It matches the Rfam family "Eukaryotic small subunit ribosomal RNA", at positions 1470 to 1796 of the family's 1831-position model. The record is from RNAcentral.